This is a long non-coding RNA of Zonotrichia albicollis (white-throated sparrow), 448 nucleotides long. RefSeq lists it as uncharacterized. NCBI's taxonomy places the organism in Eukaryota, Metazoa, Chordata, Aves, Passeriformes, Passerellidae. The record is from RefSeq and is a predicted model, not a curated record.
UAUUUUUUAAAUUCCUGUCACAAUACGUCUUUCUGCUAGCUUUUCAUUUUGCCUGUUUUGUGUUUCCUGUUUUGUUCCAUCCUUGAAAAUCCCCAAUGCAGCUGUCUUGUGGCCACUGGAGUUGCAAUGGGAGCUUUAAAAAAGGCCUCCAGCCAGAAGGUUGUUCCAGAUACUCACCAAUCUAUUGAUUCUGCUCUUGCUUACUACAGGAAUGGUCUGGCAGUUGGCCACAGGUUUGACCUCAGUACUUGAAGGACCUACAGUUUCUCUGAGUACGGUUUUGACUGUCUCACAAGAUUUCUAGAAGAAAGCACUGAGAGAAGAGGCUUGCAAGCAGAAUAUUGGGACUUAUGCAGGACUUCACCAAAGGCUUUAAUUUCUGGGAGAAAUAAAAAUAGUUAAACAAUUAAUUGUUUAACAAAGAUAGAAAUGCAAAAUUGCUUUUGAC